ACCUGGUUGAUUCUGCCAGUAGUCAUAUGCUUGUCUCAAAGAUUAAGCCAUGCAUGUCUAAGUACAUGCCGUAUUAAGGCGAAACCGCGAAUGGCUCAUUAAAUCAGUUACGGUUCCUUAGAUGUUGACUGUCUACAUGGAUAACUGUGGUAAUUCUAGAGCUAAUACAUGCACAAAAGCUUUGACCUUUACGGAAAGAGCGCAUUUAUUAGAACAAGACCAAUGGGGUUCUUUACGGAACUCCUCAAUGUGGUGACUCUGGAUAACUAUUGCUAAUCACAUGGCCAAGUGCCGGUGAUGAAUCUUUCAAGUGUCUGCCUUAUCAACUGUCGAUGGUAGGUUAUGUGCCUACCAUGGUUGUAACGGGUAACGGGGAAUCAGGGUUCGAUUCCGGAGAGGGAGCCUGAGAAACGGCUACCACAUCCAAGGAAGGCAGCAGGCACGCAAAUUACCCAAUUCCAGAACGGAGAGGUAGUGACGAAAAAUAACAAUACGGGACUCUUAUGAGGCCCCGUAAUUGGAAUGAGAACAAUCUAAAUCCUUUAACGAGGAUCUAUUGGAGGGCAAGUCUGGUGCCAGCAGCCGCGGUAAUUCCAGCUCCAAUAGCGUAUAUUAAAGUUGUUGUGGUUAAAAAGCUCGUAGUUGGAUCUCAGUUCGAGUCAGACGGUCCACUUGCCAGUGGCUACUGUUUGACUGAACACUUUACCGAGUUGUCCUAUGGUGUUCUUCACCGAGCGUCAUAGGCGAUCGGUACGUUUACUUUGAAAAAAUUAGAGUGCUCAAAGCAGGCGUAACGCCCGAAUAAUGUUGCAUGGAAUAAUGGAAUAGGACCUCGGUUCUAUUUUGUUGGUCUUCGGAAUCUCAAGAAUGUUUUCAUUAAUCAAGAACGAAAGUUAGAGGUUCGAAGGCGAUCAGAUACCGCCCUAGUUCUAACCAUAAACGAUGCCAACCAGUAAUUAAGCUGUGUUCCUUAAAUGACACGCUUAGGGACUUCCGGGAAACCAAAGUCUUUCGGUUCCAGGGGAAGUAUGGUUGCAAAGCUGAAACUUAAAGAAAUUGACGGAAGGGCACCACCAGGAGUGGAGCCUGCGGCUUAAUUUGACCCAACACGGGAAAACUCACCCGGCCCGGACACUGGAAGGAUUGACAGAUUGAGAGCUCUUUCUUGAUUCAGUGGGUGGUGGUGCAUGGCCGUUCUUAGUUGGUGGAGUGAUUUGUCUGGUUAAUUCCGAUAACGAACGAGACUCUAGCCUACUAAAUAGAUCGUCGGCUUACAAACGCCGGCGAGACUUCUUAGAGGGACAGGCGGUGAUUCAACCGCACGAAACAGAGCAAUAACAGGUCUGUGAUGCCCUUAGAUGUCCGGGGCCGCACGCGCGCUACACUGAAGUGAUCAGCGUGCUUUUUCAACCUACUCUGUCAAGAGUGGGGAACCCAAUGAACCUUCUUCGUGAUUGGGAUAGGGGAUUGUAAUUAUUCCCCUUGAACGAGGAAUUCCCAGUAAGCGCGAGUCAUAAGCUCGCGUUGAUUACGUCCCUGCCCUUUGUACACACCGCCCGUCGCUACUACCGAUUGAAUG
This 1579-nucleotide ribosomal RNA is filed under the name uncultured soil eukaryote. RNAcentral's name for it is "SSU rRNA". It matches the Rfam family "Eukaryotic small subunit ribosomal RNA". The record is from RNAcentral.